GGUUAAGCGACUAAGCGUACACGGUGGAUGCCCUGGCAGUCAGAGGCGAUGAAGGACGUGCUAAUCUGCGAAAAGCGUCGGUAAGGUGAUAUGAACCGUUAUAACCGGCGAUGUCCGAAUGGGGAAACCCAGUGCAAUUCGUUGCACUAUCGUUAACUGAAUACAUAGGUUAACGAGGCGAACCGGGGGAACUGAAACAUCUAAGUACCCCGAGGAAAAGAAAUCAACCGAGAUUCCCCCAGUAGCGGCGAGCGAACGGGGAGCAGCCCAGAGUCUGAAUCAGCUUGUGUGUUAGUGGAACGGUCUGGAAAGUCCGACGGUACAGGGUGAUAGUCCCGUACACCAAAAUGCACAGGCUGUGAACUCGAAGAGUAGGGCGGGACACGUGGUAUCCUGUCUGAAUAUGGGGGGACCAUCCUCCAAGGCUAAAUACUCCUGACUGACCGAUAGUGAACCAGUACCGUGAGGGAAAGGCGAAAAGAACCCCGGCGAGGGGAGUGAAAAAGAACCUGAAACCGUGUACGUACAAGCAGUGGGAGCACCUUCGGGUGUGACUGCGUACCUUUUGUAUAAUGGGUCAGCGACUUAUAUUCUGUAGCAAGGUUAACCGUAUAGGGGAGCCGCAGGGAAACCGAGUCUUAACUGGGCGUUAAGUUGCAGGGUAUAGACCCGAAACCCGGUGAUCUAGCCAUGGGCAGGUUGAAGGUUGGGUAACACUAACUGGAGGACCGAACCGACUAAUGUUGAAAAAUUAGCGGAUGACUUGUGGCUGGGGGUGAAAGGCCAAUCAAACCGGGAGAUAGCUGGUUCUCCCCGAAAGCUAUUUAGGUAGCGCCUCGUGAAUUCAUCUUCGGGGGUAGAGCACUGUUUCGGCUAGGGGGUCAUCCCGACUUACCAACCCGAUGCAAACUACGAAUACCGAAGAAUGUUAUCACGGGAGACACACGGCGGGUGCUAACGUCCGUCGUGAAGAGGGAAACAACCCAGACCGCCAGCUAAGGUCCCAAAGUCAUGGUUAAGUGGGAAACGAUGUGGGAAGGCACAGACAGCCAGGAUGUUGGCUUAGAAGCAGCCAUCAUUUAAAGAAAGCGUAAUAGCUCACUGGUCGAGUCGGCCUGCGCGGAAGAUGUAACGGGGCUAAACCAUGCACCGAAGCUGCGGCAGCGACACUAUGUGUUGUUGGGUAGGGGAGCGUUCUGUAAGCCUGCGAAGGUGUGCUGUGAGGCAUGCUGGAGGUAUCAGAAGUGCGAAUGCUGACAUAAGUAACGAUAAAGCGGGUGAAAAGCCCGCUCGCCGGAAGACCAAGGGUUCCUGUCCAACGUUAAUCGGGGCAGGGUGAGUCGACCCCUAAGGCGAGGCCGAAAGGCGUAGUCGAUGGGAAACAGGUUAAUAUUCCUGUACUUGGUGUUACUGCGAAGGGGGGACGGAGAAGGCUAUGUUAGCCGGGCGACGGUUGUCCCGGUUUAAGCAUGUAGGCUGGUUGUCCAGGCAAAUCCGGAUAAUCAAGGCUGAGGUGUGAUGACGAGGCACUACGGUGCUGAAGUAACAAAUGCCCUGCUUCCAGGAAAAGCCUCUAAGCAUCAGGUAACAUUAAAUCGUACCCCAAACCGACACAGGUGGUCAGGUAGAGAAUACCAAGGCGCUUGAGAGAACUCGGGUGAAGGAACUAGGCAAAAUGGUGCCGUAACUUCGGGAGAAGGCACGCUGGUGUGUAGGUGAAGCCCCUGCGGGUGGAGCUGAGACCAGUCGAAGAUACCAGCUGGCUGCAACUGUUUAUUAAAAACACAGCACUGUGCAAACACGAAAGUGGACGUAUACGGUGUGACGCCUGCCCGGUGCCGGAAGGUUAAUUGAUGGGGUUAUCCGUAAGGAGAAGCUCUUGAUCGAAGCCCCGGUAAACGGCGGCCGUAACUAUAACGGUCCUAAGGUAGCGAAAUUCCUUGUCGGGUAAGUUCCGACCUGCACGAAUGGCGUAAUGAUGGCCAGGCUGUCUCCACCCGAGACUCAGUGAAAUUGAACUCGCUGUGAAGAUGCAGUGUACCCGCGGCAAGACGGAAAGACCCCGUGAACCUUUACUAUAGCUUGACACUGAACAUUGAGCCUUGAUGUGUAGGAUAGGUGGGAGGCUUUGAAGCGUGGACGCCAGUCUGCGUGGAGCCAACCUUGAAAUACCACCCUUUAAUGUUUGAUGUUCUAACGUUGGCCCCUGACCGGGGUUGCGGACAGUGUCUGGUGGGUAGUUUGACUGGGGCGGUCUCCUCCCAAAGCGUAACGGAGGAGCACGAAGGUUAGCUAAUCCUGGUCGGACAUCAGGAGGUUAGUGCAAUGGCAUAAGCUAGCUUGACUGCGAGCGUGACGGCGCGAGCAGGUGCGAAAGCAGGUCAUAGUGAUCCGGUGGUUCUGAAUGGAAGGGCCAUCGCUCAACGGAUAAAAGGUACUCCGGGGAUAACAGGCUGAUACCGCCCAAGAGUUCAUAUCGACGGCGGUGUUUGGCACCUCGAUGUCGGCUCAUCACAUCCUGGGGCUGAAGUAGGUCCCAAGGGUAUGGCUGUUCGCCAUUUAAAGUGGUACGCGAGCUGGGUUUAGAACGUCGUGAGACAGUUCGGUCCCUAUCUGCCGUGGGCGCUGGAGAAUUGAGGGGGGCUGCUCCUAGUACGAGAGGACCGGAGUGGACGCAUCACUGGUGUUCGGGUUGUCAUGCCAAUGGCACUGCCCGGUAGCUAAAUGCGGAAGAGAUAAGUGCUGAAAGCAUCUAAGCACGAAACUUGCCCCGAGAUGAGUUCUCCCUGAGACUUUAAGUCUCCUGAAGGAACGUUGAAGACGACGACGUUGAUAGGCCGGGUGUGUAAGCGCAGCGAUGCGUUGAGCUAACCGGUACUAAUGAACCGUGAGGCUUAACCUU
This 2902-nucleotide ribosomal RNA is filed under the name Klebsiella pneumoniae. RNAcentral describes it as "23S ribosomal RNA". It matches the Rfam family "Bacterial large subunit ribosomal RNA". Lineage: Bacteria; Pseudomonadati; Pseudomonadota; Gammaproteobacteria; Enterobacterales; Enterobacteriaceae. The record is from RNAcentral.